Molecule: unclassified non-coding RNA, 1945 nt
Filed under: Hevea brasiliensis (rubber tree)
Lineage: Eukaryota; Viridiplantae; Streptophyta; Magnoliopsida; Malpighiales; Euphorbiaceae
Source: RNAcentral
AAAUCAACUGCUUUGGGAUUUUUUUUUUCCUGGUAAGGCAACAAUGCAAUUUACGUGAUAUUUGUAGAAAAAGCUUUGGUGCAGCAACUUAUUUUCAUGUGAUUUGCUGUCGCAAGUUGGUUGCAAGUCAUAAAAUCCUGGAGCUGGAGGAGACAGGUUGAAUUGAUCUUCGGGCUUUUUUCAAUUUUUGACUUGUUGAAGUUGGUAAAAUUGGAGAGAAGACACAUGGACGCAUUUGGCCAGAAAUCUCUUGAAAUGGUAGUGUUACAGAGAGCUCUGCAAAUGGGUAGUUCUUUUCCAUGCCAAAUUUGUGUGGUGGGUUUUCUUUGUGGGGUCUGUCUCACCUCCUUGUUUCUUGCUGUUCUUACUUCGAUGGCGACUUUUGAGUUUGGUGGGAUCUCAUUUUCUGCCAUUUCACUGGGGAUUUCACCACCAAGGAAUUCAAGUUCUGAAAUUAUCAGUGUGGUUACAAGUACAGAUUGCAAACUUAAACCAAUGGAAACAGAGAGAUGGGAUAAUCCACAGAGAAGUAGAAAUGAGGUCGAUGAUGAGAGAAUCUCAUUGGUAUAUGCAGCUUGAAGUGCAUCAUUAUCUGAAUCGGCAGACGAAGUAAGUGAAUUCUUGCAGAGUCAUGGACUUAGCAAGUCUGCUGUACCUACUGCGCCUCAUUUGGAGAACUGUAAAUUGAGUGCAAAAGUAGGCGAACGUCUUGACAAGCGUGCCGGAAAUGAGAGCUUCCCUCCUUGGACAACUUGGAAUGGACUACUAGACAUGCACCCAGCAUCCACAGCCAAUGAGCAGCAUAGGUACUUUAGGCAUCAGGCUAUGUCAGACGAUGCUUAUCCUCCCUGGGUAUGUUUCCAAGUUAUAUAAUCCAAUAUUGAAUGUGAUGCAGUUGAAUAUGAACUUAGAAGACUGCUAGAUAUGCAAUCUUCAGGUAUCCUCAAAAUGUUUGACGAAUGGAAAUUUGUUUAUUUAUUUAUUUUCUCAGAUUACUGGAUCAGAUGAAGACAACUACCCUCUUACUAGGAAAGUGCAGCGUGACAUAUGGAUCAUGGUUUCAAAAAUGGUCAUUACGUUACAUAAAGGCCAUUAUUUAUAGGUUUUUUGAACUUUCGUGACCAUUACACCCAUUAAAUAAUGGGUUUUAAAAAUUGUAGCUACCACGAUCGUUACAGUCGUUCCGUAGCCGUUACCUGCUGUUACUAGCCGUUACCUGACCUACUUUGUAUUUCCAGCUUUAUUUCACAUCUACUUUACCUCUAUGGCUGACUCCAUUCACGUGAAAUUGAAACUGAUCUGCUGCAGUGGGAUUUUUUCUUCUUUGGCUUAUUAAAUUAUUAUGUUAAAAGGCAUAUAUUCUCUCUUUUUCUCUCUUUAUUUUCAGUUUUCACUAGUCAUUCAAUAGCCAUUUGUUGUCACUCAAAUACUCAAAGUCUCAACUUUCUCUCAAGUCUCUAGUCUCAACCAUUUUCUCACGAUUCUCAAACUCAACAUUCUCUCAUUUUUUUUUUCUCAUAUCCAUAAUCGAAUCUACUGAAGUGAAGGCCUUCAACUUCAAUCCUCUAUAAAGUUUUGAGUUCAAGAGCAUCAAAAGUGAGUUAAUGCUUAUUUUCUCUAAUUCUUAAAACUUUUUUUAAUCAUUUUUAAGUAAAUACAUAAAUACUUAGAAAAUAAUAUCAAAGAAUUUAAUUGAUAUAUUUAUGUGUAAAUUAGUAAAUACUACACAAAUCAUUUUUAGGUAAUGCAUGAUUGCAUUAAAUUAUGUGUAAAUUAGUACCUCCUAAAUACUCAUUUUGGUGACAAUAAAGUUAGUUAUUUACCAUCUAACUGGCUAUUUUUAUUUUAAAUUGAUUAAUAUUAAUGAUGUAUAAAAAUAAUGAAUUUAAUGUCUUUAUAUGAUAUAUUUAUGCUUAUUAUGUAGUUGUAUAUCUUAGUUUUAAUU